RNAcentral lists this unclassified non-coding RNA (327 nucleotides) under soil metagenome. RNAcentral describes it as "partial contains 5.8S ribosomal RNA, internal transcribed spacer 2, and large subunit ribosomal RNA". The stretch from base 1 to 121 matches the Rfam family "5.8S ribosomal RNA", at positions 35 to 154 of the family's 154-position model. The record is from RNAcentral.
GAUGAAGAACGCAGCGAAAUGCGAUAAGUAAUGUGAAUUGCAGAUUUCCAGUGAAUCAUCGAAUCUUUGAACGCACCUUGCGCCCCUUGGUAUUCCGAGGGGCAUGCCUGUUCGAGCGUCAUAUUAACCACUCCCGCUUGCGGGGUCUUGGGCUUCGCCUCCGGGCGGGCCUUAAAAUCAGUGGCGGUGCCGUCGGGCUCUACGCGUAGUAAAUUUUCUCGCGAUAGGGUCCCGGUGGAUGCUUGCCAACAACCCCCAACUUCUUAAGGUUGACCUCGGAUCAGGUAGGGAUACCCGCUGAACUUAAGCAUAUCAAUAAGCGGAGGA